RNAcentral lists this transfer RNA (76 nucleotides) under Jannaschia sp. CCS1. RNAcentral's name for it is "tRNA-Thr (CGT) (tRNA-Thr-CGT-1-1)". It matches the Rfam family "tRNA". Rfam says of the family: Transfer RNA (tRNA) molecules are approximately 80 nucleotides in length. The record is from RNAcentral. RNAcentral also lists the same sequence under 2 other names. Lineage: Bacteria; Pseudomonadati; Pseudomonadota; Alphaproteobacteria; Rhodobacterales; Roseobacteraceae.
GCCGCUGUAGCUCAGAUGGUAGAGCACAUCAUUCGUAAUGAUGGGGUCGGGGGUUCGAGUCCCUUCAGCGGCACCA